Molecule: long non-coding RNA, 1306 nt
Organism: Cavia porcellus (domestic guinea pig)
Lineage: Eukaryota; Metazoa; Chordata; Mammalia; Rodentia; Caviidae
Exons: 3
Source: RefSeq, a predicted model, not a curated record
GUUACUAGGAGGUGGCAAGGAGAUAAAGCCUCUGCAGCAUUGUCCAGAGGCACGGUGACUUGGGGGUGUUAGGGUAAGGCAGCCCUUCGAUGAAGGAGCUGGCCUCUGCUCAUAUCCAUCACUUCUGCUGUCCUGCAUUCUGCUCUCUCCUCUGCUCUGUGAAGGAGUUGAGGAAGACAAGGAACGGGAGGAGGCCAGGAGAGCAGAAAGCAAGCUGUCCCCAGUUACCAGCCACAGGAGGACCCUGGGCCUGACUCUUCCCUCCUGGUGUCCACCUGCAACCCUGAAAGCUGCAUUUUCCCUCAAUGUGGCCAGGCCUCCACUUGCAGCCUGGCUACCAGUGAGGGGACCUCGGGACAGGGAUGGCUCCAGCUGCAAACAGUUCCUAGAAAGUCCAGCGGAAUGGAUAUCAUUCCUUUGCUGGCUUCUAUGGUGAUUAAGGGAAUACCUCAGAGGGCUUCCCUGGGCACAGUGUGCAAGAUGGGACAUGGUAGGUGGCUCUCCAGGAAGAGGCUCUAGAAUCCAGAGCAUUCUGUUCUGCUGGCAACAUCGUGGUAAAGAUGCCACCAACUCUGCUUGGCUUUGCAAACCUCAGGCAUCCAUCGAGAGUCAAAGAGAGGAAACAUCUGUUCCGGGCUGGGGGCCUCCUCCCUGCUGGUGGGGGCUCAUAGGAAGAGAUGGUUGAAGGUCUUGCAACCUCGAAAUAAACCAACGGUUCAGCUGAGUUCUGCACAUGCAUUCCUGUCUCCACCCCACCCCACCUUCGUGUUGGACAUCUUCUAGGGACUGCCCCACCCUGCCACCCAACAGACAGCUGAAGCCAUCUGUUUCAGACACAAGAGCAAUCAGCAACCUGAGUGGGGCUCCAGGGUAUCCCCGCUCGGCAGUGAACUACAGGUGGUCACAAAGCCAGCAGAGGGUGACACUGGACACACCUCCAGAUCACCUCUUCCUUCUCUAUCUAUCUUUUCAAAAGUCUAUACUACACCAAGCAGUAACCCUAAUUGUAUUAUCAGAUUAUCAUGGUGUCCUGAGAGGUAGGAAUUCAUCUUUUUACAGGUGUUAGAGGGAACAGAGAGGUCAAGGAACUUGGCCAAGAUCACACAACGUUUAAGUAGCAGAGCUUAGAUUCAAACCCUAUCAGACCCAGCUUCUGACCUGCCAUCUACCUCACACCUGAGUACCCUGGACCCUCUUUUCCCCACUAGACUCAAUGGUCUUCACACUCCAAACACCAUUUUGUAACAGCUGGUAUUAUUCAGCCAACCUCUUUCCCCUUCAUUUGUCCAUUUCUGUCCUGAGCUGA